GUGAGGAAUAUUGGUCAAUGGACGGAAGUCUGAACCAGCCAUGCCGCGUGCAGGAAUAAGGUCCUAUGGAUUGUAAACUGCUUUUAUUCGGGAAUAAACCUCUUUACGUGUAGGGAGCUGAAGGUACCGAAGGAAUAAGCACCGACUAACUCCGUGCCAGCAGCCGCGGUAAUACGGAGGGUGCAAGCGUUAUCCGGAAUCAUUGGGUUUAAAGGGUCCGCAGGCGGGCUAUCAAGUCAGAGGUGAAAUCCCACAGCUUAACUGUGGAACUGCCUUUGAAACUGAUGGUCUUGAAUUAAGUGGGCGUUGGCGGAAUAUGACAUGUAGCGGUGAAAUGCAUAGAUAUGUCAUGGAACACCGAAAGCGAAGGCAGCUAACGAUACUUAUAUUGACGCUCAUGGACGAAAGCGUGGGUAGCGAACAGGAUUAGAUACCCUGGUAGUCC
RNAcentral lists this ribosomal RNA (445 nucleotides) under uncultured bacterium. RNAcentral describes it as "partial 16S ribosomal RNA". It matches the Rfam family "Bacterial small subunit ribosomal RNA", at positions 354 to 796 of the family's 1533-position model. The record is from RNAcentral.